GACUACGGCCAUACCACCUUGGGAACACUCCCGAUCUCGUCUGAUCUUGGAAGCUAAGCAGGGUCAGGCCUGGUUAGUACUACACAGCCCGGCUAGCUCAGUUG
RNAcentral lists this ribosomal RNA (104 nucleotides) under Chrysemys picta bellii (western painted turtle). The record is from RNAcentral. RNAcentral also lists the same sequence under 1 other name. Lineage: Eukaryota; Metazoa; Chordata; Testudines; Emydidae.